Molecule: ribosomal RNA, 256 nt
Filed under: uncultured bacterium
Lineage: Bacteria
Description: partial 16S ribosomal RNA
Rfam family: Bacterial small subunit ribosomal RNA
Source: RNAcentral
GACGUAGGUGGCGAACGUUCUCCGGAAUUAUUGGGCGUAAAGGGUGCGCAGAUGGUCUGACAAGUUAGCAGUGGCAAAUCGAGGCUCAACCUCGUGGAAACUGGUAAUACUGUCUGACUCGAGUACAGGAGAGGUUAACGGAACUCCAUGUGGAGCGGUAAAAUGUGUAGAUAUAUGGAAGAACACCAAUACCGGCGAAGGCAGUUAACUAUUCUGUUACUGACAUUGAGGCACGAAAGCGUGGGGAGCAAAACGG